UGAGCCCGCGGCCUAUCAGCUCGUUGGUGGGGUAACGGCCCACCAAGGCGACGACGGGUAGCUGGUCUGAGAGGACGACCAGCCACACUGGGACUGAGACACGGCCCAGACUCCUACGGGAGGCAGCAGUGGGGAAUCUUGCGCCAAUGCGCGAAAGCGUGACGCAGCGACCCGCGUGGGGGAUGAAGGCCCUCGGGUUGUAAACCCCUUUCGGCAGGGACGAAGCGAGAGUGACGGUACCUGCAGAAGAAGUCCCGGCUAACUACGUGCCAGCAGCCGCGGUAACACGUAGGGGACGAGCGUUGUCCGGAUUCAUUGGGCGUAAAGAGCGCGCAGGCGGUUCGGUAAGUCGGUUAUGAAAUUCCGGGGCUCAACCCCGGGACUGCGUCCGAUACUGCCGGACUAGAGGUAGGUAGGGGAGAUCGGAAUUCCUGGUGUAGCGGUGGAAUGCGCAGAUAUCAGGAGGAACACCGGUGGCGAAGGCGGAUCUCUGGGCCUUACCUGACGCUCAGGCGCGAAGGCUAGGGGAGCGAACAGGAUUAGAUACCCUGGUAGUCCUAGCUGUAAACGUUGGGGCUGGGUGUGGGCGGAUAUCGACCCCGUCCGUGCCGAAGCUAACGCAUUAAGCACCCCGCCUGGGGAGUACGGCCGCAAGGCUAAAACUCAAGGAA
This 671-nucleotide ribosomal RNA is filed under the name uncultured bacterium. RNAcentral describes it as "bacterial SSU rRNA". It matches the Rfam family "Bacterial small subunit ribosomal RNA", at positions 226 to 908 of the family's 1533-position model. The record is from RNAcentral.